This 293-nucleotide ribosomal RNA is filed under the name uncultured bacterium. RNAcentral's name for it is "partial 16S ribosomal RNA". It matches the Rfam family "Bacterial small subunit ribosomal RNA", at positions 505 to 797 of the family's 1533-position model. The record is from RNAcentral.
GUGCCAGCAGCCGCGGUAAUACGUAGGUGGCAAGCGUUGUCCGGAUUUACUGGGCGUAAAGGAUGCGUAGGCGGAUAUUUAAGUGAGAUGUGAAAUCCCUAAGCUUAACUUAGGUGCUGCAUUUCAAACUGGAUAUCUAGAGUGCGGGAGAGGAGAAUGGAAUUCCUAGUGUAGCGGUGAAAUGCGUAGAGAUUAGGAAGAACACCGGUGGCGAAGGCGAUUCUCUGGACCGUAACUGACGCUGAGGCAUGAAAGCGUGGGUAGCAAACAGGAUUAGAUACCCCGGUAGUCCA